This 293-nucleotide ribosomal RNA is filed under the name uncultured bacterium. RNAcentral describes it as "partial 16S ribosomal RNA". It matches the Rfam family "Archaeal small subunit ribosomal RNA", at positions 455 to 747 of the family's 1478-position model. The record is from RNAcentral.
GUGCCAGCCGCCGCGGUAAUACCGGCAGCCCAAGUGAUGGCCACUCUUAUUGGGCCUAAAGCGUCCGUAGCCGGCCUCGCAAGUCCGUCGGGAAAUCCACCCGCCCAACGGGUGGGCGUCCGGUAGAAACUGGCCGGCUUGGAACCGGAAGGCUCAAAGAGUACGUCCGGGGUUGGAGUGAAAUCCCGUAAUCCCGGACGGACUACCGAUGGCGAAAGCACUCUGAGAAGACGGCUUCGACAGUGAGGGACGAAAGCUCGGGUCUCAAACCGGAUUAGAAACCCGGGUAGUCC